CGAGCGGAUCAGCGAAAGCACAUUCCGCCGCCUGUCCUCUCUCGCCGCUGUUCCGACGAGCUCGCCAGCCGGCGACCGACCCCUCUUCCGGCGGACCAACCCGCCAAAAGCGGCCGGACGCACGAGAGGCUUACCUCCCCGCGUACACCUGCCUGCCUCUUCGCCUUCCCGAGCCUCCUGCGCCCGGGCGGGCACCCGGCCUUGCGCGCCCGAACGCGUGCAGGCGGCACCGAACCCGCCUCCUAUUCCUCCCCGUCGGAGCUCGCCGGCCACGCGGAGGGAAUUCUUUUCCUCGCGGUCUUCCUCCUCGUCGUCGGUGGCUUCGUCGUACUCCAGGGCUUGGAUUGGCGUGGAGUGGAGAGCAGUGCUGACCUGGGAUUGAAUUCUGGUGUAUAGGUUCAGCGCCCCACACGAUAGGUCCAUCCCUAACCUUGUCAUCAGUUGGCAUCAGUUCAGUUCUUUCGCAGGCAGCUGCAACAACCUGCCGCUGCUCCUAUGCUCCAUUAGCUCAACUGACUGACUAGCUUUCUGAUCGAUCUAUGGAGGCAGGAAUACAUCCUUGAAAGUAGCUUGGUCGUCCUGUGCAUAACGUCCAUGCUGAUUUUCUUUUCACUCAGUGUUUCAUGGUUAAAAUGCAUUGUGGUUCCAGAGAUUCUUUAACACAUUCUGGGUUGGAUAUUGUCGGUAAUAAAUUUGAUUUUAUCAGCUUCUGUGCAGUAGUAUCUGGUUUCAUUUCAGUGUAGAAGCUGAGCUGCAAUGGACAGUGGCGGAAGAUUUGGUAACAUACUUAUAGUCUUAGC
This is a long non-coding RNA of Sorghum bicolor (sorghum), 800 nucleotides long. RefSeq lists it as uncharacterized. NCBI's taxonomy places the organism in Eukaryota, Viridiplantae, Streptophyta, Magnoliopsida, Poales, Poaceae. The record is from RefSeq and is a predicted model, not a curated record. The transcript is spliced from 2 exons.